RNAcentral lists this ribosomal RNA (254 nucleotides) under uncultured bacterium. RNAcentral's name for it is "partial 16S ribosomal RNA". It matches the Rfam family "Bacterial small subunit ribosomal RNA", at positions 524 to 776 of the family's 1533-position model. The record is from RNAcentral.
CACGUAGGGCGCAAGCGUUGUCCGGAAUUAUUGGGCGUAAAGAGCUCGUAGGCGGCUUGUCGCGUCGACUGUGAAAACCCGCGGCUCAACCGUGUGGUCUGCAGUCGAUACGGGCAGGCUAGAGUUCGGUAGGGGAGACUGGAAUUCCUGGUGUAGCGGUGAAAUGCGCAGAUAUCAGGAAGAAUAUCCGUGGCGAAGGCGGCUCUCUGGGACGGUACUGACGCUGAGACGCGAAAGCGUGGGGAGCGAACAGG